Molecule: long non-coding RNA, 2069 nt
Organism: Carassius auratus (goldfish)
Lineage: Eukaryota; Metazoa; Chordata; Actinopteri; Cypriniformes; Cyprinidae
Source: Ensembl
GAGAAUUCUUGCCACCCGAGGAAAAAAGUUGCAGAGAUAUGGGCCAAGGAGAUGUUAGAAGACGAAGGGGAUUAUGAGGAGGAAGAGGAAGAUGAGGUGCUUGCUCUUGAAGAGGAGGAGGAAGAAGAAGAAGAAUAUGGGGAUGAAGAGGAAGAAGAGGUAGAAGAAAGUGAUGAGGAGAUCGUAGAGGAGGAAGAAGAGGAGGAGGAAUUAGCAAAGGAAGCAGUGGUGGAGGAAAAGAGAAAAGAGGAGGCUGAAAAAAAGGAGAAUGAGGAAGCUGAUGCUCAUAAUGAGGAAGAAAAAGAAGAUGAAGAGGAGGAAGCAGCAGCAGAAGUUGUGCAGAAGGAGGAGGACAAAGAAAAGGAGGAAGAGGAGGCUGAUGCAGAUGAAGAAAAUGAAGAUGAAAAGAAGGGAGUAGCAGCAGAAGCUGUGCAGAAGGAGGAGGAAACAGAACAAGAAGAAGAGGAAGCUGAUGCUGAGCAGGAAGAAGAACAUGAAGAGGAAGCUGCUGCUCCUGCUGUCAAGAAGAAAGAUACUUCGAUCUCUGCUGAUUCUGAUGAGGAGAAAGAAGAAACUUCAGAACAAGUCACUUCUAAAGAAACCGAGAAAAGAAAAAAAGAUACUCCUGCUGAUGAUAAAGAUGAUGACCAAAAAGAUGACCAAAGCGAGGAAAAAGAUGUUGACGAUGAGGCCCAAGAGGCUGAUAUCGCCAUAGCUGUUGGUAUUAUAGCUGAUGCUGGUGCUACAGUCGCUGAUGUUGAAGUGCAAGAAACUGGUGAGGAAUCUAUACUUCUUAAAGCUGAUGGCGAUUCAAAGCUAUUAACAACCAUAGAGGAGAGUGCUGCUAAAGCUGAUAAUGCAGUGGCUGAUUUAGCUGACUCACAAGAUGGCUUAAGCGCUACUGAUGACCAUGAUGAUAAGAUGAUAAAAGAGCUAGCUGACGAUCAUGGUGAGGUUACAGAAGACGGUCUUGAAGAUGAGACUGGUAAUGGACUGAUAGACGCUGACUCUGAGAAAGAUAUAACACGUGAAGUUGAGGGUGUUUUUGAGGAGCCUGAGCUAGCCGAUGAUGUUGCAGAUAAGGAGGAGCAGGAGCAAGAGGGAAAAGAGGAGGGAGAGGAACAGAUAAGGGUUGAGGAUGAUGAUGAUGAUGAUGCUGCUGCUGCUGAUGAUGAUGAUAUUAUAGUAACAGCACCUGUAGUUAGUUCUGACGCAGGUGGAGAUGAGACAACAGUGGUGGCUGAUGAAGAUGGUGACUCUUCACCUGAAAAAGACAUAACAACCCUGAAAGAAGAGGAGAAAGAUGAAAAGGAUGAAAGCGCAGAGGAGGCGGAAAUCGCUGAAAAAGCACCAGAACCAGAACCGGUCCCUAAAGGUAACAAACAUAGCAACAGUUUGCUUGCAUGAAGCAUAUAAAAUGAACCAGAAUUAAAAUGAGAAUAUCAUGCCAACACUAAUGAGCUCCAAGGUCUCACUAAGGAGCUCAAAAACUGUGGAGGAGUGGUGUUCUACAACAGGCAGAAGUCUGAUGGAGGUGGAUGAUGGGAGAAGAGGGCAAGUGUGUGUGUGGCUGUGGAUGUGAGGGUUGAGCAGACCCUUAGGCCUUAAACUUUGAUCUCCAACGACUUCCUUAUAGCUAUUUUUCCCCAUCUACUUCACAGCAUUAGAAUGAAGUUGGUGUGUGUCUAGUUGCUUGAUGUUCUGCACUGGUCUCUGCUGCACUCUCAGAAAAAAAAAGGUACAAAAGCUAUCACCUGGGAAAUAUCUUUUCAAAAGGUACAAUUUGUAAAUUUUUAGGUACAAAUAUGUACACUUCAGGUGUUAAUACUUACCUUUAAGGAACUAAUAUGCACGCUUUAAGUACAAAGGUGUACCCUUUGAAAAGGUACCGCCACAGUGACAGAUUUUGUACAUUGUUUUUCUGUGUGUAUAAAAAGACAAAAAAAAAAAAAGUACUUUCUCAGACUCAGUUAUAGAUCAAAGGGGUCUGGCCUCAUUUAUUAUAUCCUUGACUGUUAUUAAACUGUAAUGUUAAAGUGACCAAUUAUUGAACUUUAUUUAUUGAGCUG